This 87-nucleotide transfer RNA is filed under the name Aspergillus sclerotioniger CBS 115572. Its description in RNAcentral is "tRNA-Pro". It matches the Rfam family "tRNA". Rfam says of the family: Transfer RNA (tRNA) molecules are approximately 80 nucleotides in length. Their secondary structure includes four short double-helical elements and three loops (D, anti-codon, and T loops). Further hydrogen bonds mediate the characteristic L-shaped molecular structure. tRNAs have two regions of fundamental functional importance: the anti-codon, which is responsible for specific mRNA codon recognition, and the 3' end, to which the tRNAs corresponding amino acid is attached (by aminoacyl-tRNA synthetases). tRNAs cope with the degeneracy of the genetic code in two manners: having more than one tRNA (with a specific anti-codon) for a particular amino acid; and 'wobble' base-pairing, i.e. permitting non-standard base-pairing at the 3rd anti-codon position. Lineage: Eukaryota; Fungi; Ascomycota; Eurotiomycetes; Eurotiales; Aspergillaceae. The record is from RNAcentral.
GCCCGGAUGGUCUAGUGGUAUGAUUCUCGCUUUGGGAACCCAAAUCUCAACUGCGAGAGGCCCCGCGUUCGAAUCGCGGUUCGGGCC